ACGAGAAACCCGUAUAAUCCAAGACUCGAUCAAGAUCUAAAGGUAGAAGCAAAUGUAAGUAUGAAUUUAAGUAUGUUUAUGAAGAAACUAACAUUAUGUUGUGUGUAAGAUAAGCAUAGUUGUUUGGAUGAGGAUGAUCCACGACUGUGGUCUCGGACUGACACCAAGGCAUGUAAUAAGACCAUUGCCCAGGUCAGUGAAAGAAUGUUCAUAAGCGAAAGCUCGUCACACGGAUAAACGAGGUCGAUACGAAACAUGGUAUGGAUGGGGACGAAGAGGACCGACUCGUUGCUGCAUGUUCAAGUACUGCACCAAGGUAGUAAGGUUAGCAAAUUAUUUAAUAUAUGAAGGUACGAUGCUCGAAUCCCUCAAACCUACGCUCUCGUGAAAGUGUGUUCGUUUCUAAGCGCCACGCAAGUAAGUGAUUUAAGGAUUUCGAGCUAUGCUUUUAGAUGAAAACGGAAAUGGGUUAUGGAUAAAUUACUAUUAUAACCUGGGUUGGGAUGUUAUGGGAUGUUAGGGAAGGUUUCGGGACUGCCCGAGACCAUUUCUGGUUGGAAAAAAAAAAGAGACCCGGGAACAAAAAAAUUUUGGUCAAACAGCGUCUGCACACCGGAGAGCCCGUCGGCGACGGCCUUUAUGCCGUCGGCGACGGCACCCCUCCACCUGACGCGCUAACUGUCUGUCUACGGGCAAUGUUUAGCGACGGGACCUUCCCGAGCCCGUCGGCGACGCACCAUGUGCCGUCGGCGACGGGUCCCCCUUAUCUGCUUAUGCUGAAAUUGUUUGUUUAUUAGGCUAAGGUCCUUAAUUCAGUUCUAGCAUUCAUUAAACACUAAGAACACCCCAGAUUGAUUAUGAAGCUAGGAAAUUCAAGACAACUAUCGUGUUUUAAUGAUGAAUGUGUGGGAAGUUAUGUAUGCGAACGAAUGAAAUAAGUAACACAUCUAGAAUGUUUGUAAAGAAAGAUUGGGUAAGUUUAUAAAAAUUUUACGCUAUCAUUGAGAAAGUACCUCCGUAUAAAUAAGUACGAUAUGUUAAAUGUGUACGAAUGAACGAGAUUGAAUGCGGAAAUGAAUAAAAUAAUGAUGACUAGGGAUUGGUUUUCGCAAAGAAGUUUGAAAUCUUGAUAAGUAUGAAUAAUAUGUCAGGAUGCUAGUUUCAAAUUAUGGACUAUGGGAUCUGUGAUUAGGCAAUUUCUCACAACAUGCUUAUGUAAGUCGUCCAAUGUCACUUGAAUGAAUGAACGAACGAAGAAUAAAACUAGAUGGGUUAUAGAAGAAAUGAAAGAGGUUUCGGGGACGAAACCUUCUUUAAGGGGGAUAGAUUUGUAACACCCCAAAACACGAAUUAUUAAAUUCGUUAGUAGGUUACCUUGGGUAAUUAGAUGAAGUACAACAACUAAGUUAUUAAACUUAGUUAAAUGUCUAAUAAAUAAGUAAAGGAAUGAAGUUUGUGGCAACUAUGAUGAUGUGUUAGAGUUGAGGGACCUAGAUUGCCAUAAUGUAAACUAAAAUUUAAUAAAAAAGAAAGAAAAAUAAAACCACAACACACACUGUGCGUGUGUGUGGUCGAUCACACAAGGCAGAGGGAAAGGGGUAAACCCUAAUUCUCAAGAAAUCUCCAAAUUGAAAAGGGAAUUGAAGGUUUUUAGGAUGCAUGUAUCAAGAUUAUCGAUCUCCUAAGUGUUCUUCACUAUCAAGAACGUGUCAAGGAGAGGUCAAGCAUAGGAGGAUAACGGGUCAAGAUAAGGCAAGGUGACAAAUACACUUAAUGGAGUACUCGAGGUAAGUGAAUUUCGAUUCACUUUUUAGUAGGUUUAAUAGAUUUUAAUACUUAUGUUCACGAAACAUCAUGAAAGAACAUGUAAUAAUCAGAAGUACAAAGCCAAUAAUGCCUCAUUAUUGAGGAAGGUUGUAUUAAGCCGAAAGUAAAUUGGUGGGUUUAAACGGGUCGAAUUUUAUGUGCAUAUGUUGCGUAAUGUAAUGAAAUUCGUUAUGGUUAAGACCUUGGGUAGGAAUUUUUAGUCAUUAUGUAAGGGGAACACUUCCCGGACCAUUAGGAACAAGUUUUAUAUGAUUCGGUUGUCGGUUAGUUAAUGAACGGAUUGUUUCAUGUUAGUGUAGGAAAUUUUAUAAGUAUAUGUGUAUAGGAACCCAAAGGGCACGUGGGUUGAAUCAUAGAUUGUUUAUACUAUGUAAAGUUGUGAAAGUGACAUUCCGGCAUAAACCUACAUGUAAAAGAAGCUUGUGUAUAUAUUCGUGAUUAAUUGAUUGUGCGUAGGAAGGAACAUUGGCAUGUAUGAAGGUACGCAUGUAUAUGUAAGUGUGUAUAUAUAUAUAUAUAUGUAUGUAUGUAUGAUAAUAAGUACGUAGGUGUGAAUGUAUGUGUGAAUGAAUGUUCAAUGCUUAAGACAUAUGCAUGAACGUUAUCAAAGUGUUCGAGUAUUAAUGGUUACUAAUGAUGUGCGUUGAGUUGGAAUGUAAUGUAGGUAUGGGAUCGUUGGCUUCAUGAAGAAAUGGAGCUGGAUUUGGAUAAGAGUAUUUAAGAAAGCGCUUGGACAAUUCCACGACUACUUUAUAGAAUGCUCUACGAAAUUCUAAUAUAUAGUUUAAUGUUGUAUGGUAUGUUAAUGACUAAUGGUUUGGUUGUACGUGGUGUCCACAGGUAUCACUUGGGUUUUCUCUACAUUUAUUGAAGUGAAGCGGACUUAGUUCGAGUUGAGAGCAAGGAUUGUACGGGGUAGAAUGGUCACAUAGUGUAACUCAUAUAGAUUUUGAAGUAUUUGAACCUUCAUGUUUUUGAUAUGUCUAUUAAAGAACGAAAUUUUUGGGCUCUUGUUUUCCGCUGCGUCGUAUUUUAAGUUAUUAUACGUUAGUCUUACAGGGAAUUGUUCUUAUUACGAACGGGUCAUGCCCGAAUUUUGUUAAAUAAUAGUAUGAUAAUAUUACA
Molecule: long non-coding RNA, 2952 nt
Organism: Helianthus annuus (common sunflower)
Lineage: Eukaryota; Viridiplantae; Streptophyta; Magnoliopsida; Asterales; Asteraceae
Exons: 3
Source: RefSeq, a predicted model, not a curated record